RNAcentral lists this ribosomal RNA (478 nucleotides) under uncultured bacterium. RNAcentral's name for it is "partial 16S ribosomal RNA". It matches the Rfam family "Bacterial small subunit ribosomal RNA", at positions 28 to 506 of the family's 1533-position model. The record is from RNAcentral.
GAUGAACGCUAGCGGGAGGCUUAACACAUGCAAGCCGAGGGGUAUAGUUCUUUCGGGAACUAGAGACCGGCGCACGGGUGCGUAACGCGUAUGCAACUUGCCCUACUGAAAAGGAUAGCCCUUCGAAAGGAGGAUUAAUACUUUAUAACAGAUUUAAUGGCAUCAUUAGAUUUUGAAAGAUUUAUCGCAGUAGGAUAGGCAUGCGUAAGAUUAGUUAGUUGGUGAGGUAACGGCUCACCAAGACGAUGAUCUUUAGGGGGCCUGAGAGGGUGAACCCCCACACUGGUACUGAGACACGGACCAGACUCCUACGGGAGGCAGCAGUGAGGAAUAUUGGACAAUGGGUGGAAGCCUGAUCCAGCCAGCCCGCGUGUAGGAUGACGGCCUUAUGGGUUGUAAACUACUUUUAUCUGGGGAUAAACCUACUUACGUGUAAGUAGCUGAAGGUACCAGAAGAAUAAGCACCGGCUAACUCCGU